This 1335-nucleotide ribosomal RNA is filed under the name metagenome. Its description in RNAcentral is "bacterial SSU rRNA". It matches the Rfam family "Bacterial small subunit ribosomal RNA", at positions 169 to 1498 of the family's 1533-position model. The record is from RNAcentral.
CCGCAUAUUCUGUGAGCAGGAAAGCAGGGGACCGCAAGGCCUUGCGCUCUUUGAGCGGCCGAUGUCAGAUUAGCUAGUUGGUGAGGUAAAGGCUUACCAAGGCGACGAUCUGUAGCGGGUCUGAGAGGAUGAUCCGCCACACUGGAACUGAGACACGGUCCAGACUCCUACGGGAGGCAGCAGUGGGGAAUUUUGGACAAUGGGCGCAAGCCUGAUCCAGCCAUGCCGCGUGAGUGAAGAAGGCCUUCGGGUUGUAAAGCUCUUUCGGCCGGGAAGAAAUCGCAUGGGUUAAUACCCUGUGAGGAUGACGGUACCGGAAUAAGAAGCACCGGCUAACUACGUGCCAGCAGCCGCGGUAAUACGUAGGGUGCGAGCGUUAAUCGGAAUUACUGGGCGUAAAGCGUGCGCAGGCGGUUUUGUAAGACAGGCGUGAAAUCCCCGGGCUUAACCUGGGAACUGCGUUUGUGACUGCAAGGCUAGAGUACGGCAGAGGGGGGUGGAAUUCCACGUGUAGCAGUGAAAUGCGUAGAGAUGUGGAGGAACACCAAUGGCGAAGGCAGCCCCCUGGGUCGAUACUGACGCUCAUGCACGAAAGCGUGGGUAGCAAACAGGAUUAGAUACCCUGGUAGUCCACGCCCUAAACUAUGUCAACUAGGUGUUGGGUGGGUAAAACCAUUUAGUACCGUAGCUAACGCGUGAAGUUGACCGCCUGGGGAGUACGGCCGCAAGGUUAAAACUCAAAGGAAUUGACGGGGACCCGCACAAGCGGUGGAUGAUGUGGAUUAAUUCGAUGCAACGCGAAAAACCUUACCUACCCUUGACAUGCCAGGAACUUGCCAGAGAUGGCUUGGUGCCCGAAAGGGAGCCUGGACACAGGUGCUGCAUGGCUGUCGUCAGCUCGUGUCGUGAGAUGUUGGGUUAAGUCCCGCAACGAGCGCAACCCUUGUCGUUAAUUGCCAUCAUUUAGUUGGGCACUUUAACGAGACUGCCGGUGACAAACCGGAGGAAGGUGGGGAUGACGUCAAGUCCUCAUGGCCCUUAUGGGUAGGGCUUCACACGUCAUACAAUGGUCGGUACAAAGGGUUGCCAAGCCGCGAGGCGAAGCCAAUCCCAGAAAGCCGAUCGUAGUCCGGAUUGCAGGCUGCAACUCGCCUGCAUGAAGUCGGAAUCGCUAGUAAUCGUGGAUCAGCAUGUCACGGUGAAUACGUUCCCGGGUCUUGUACACACCGCCCGUCACACCAUGGGAGCGGGUUCCGCCAGAAGUAGGUAGCCUAACCGCAAGGGGGGCGCUUACCACGGCGGGGUUCGUGACUGGGGUGAAGUCGGAACAAGGUA